RNAcentral lists this ribosomal RNA (440 nucleotides) under uncultured bacterium. Its description in RNAcentral is "partial 16S ribosomal RNA". It matches the Rfam family "Bacterial small subunit ribosomal RNA", at positions 338 to 795 of the family's 1533-position model. The record is from RNAcentral.
CCUACGGGUGGCAGCAGUGGGGGAUAUUGCACAAUGGGGGAAACCCUGAUGCAGCGACGCCGCGUGGGUGAAGAAGCGCCUCGGCGCGUAAAGCCCUGUCAGCAGGGAAGAAAAUGACGGUACCUGAAGAAGAAGCCCCGGCUAACUACGUGCCAGCAGCCGCGGUAAUACGUAGGGGGCAAGCGUGAUCCGGAUUUACUGGGUGUAAAGGGGGCGCAGACGGCGGUGCAAGCCCUGAGUGAAAGCCCGGGGCCCAACCCCGGGACUGCUCGUGGAACUGCGUGGCUAGAGUGCAGGAGGGGGAGGCGGAAUUCCUGGUGUAGCGGUGAAAUGCGUAGAUAUCAGGAGGAACACCGGUGGCGAAGGCGGCCUGCUGGACUGCAACUGACGUUGAGGCACGAAAGCGUGGGGAGCAAACAGGAUUAGAUACCCUGGUAGUC